GAUGAACGCCGGCGGUGUGCCUAAUACAUGCAAGUCGAACGCGUUGGCCCAAUUGAUUGAUGGUGCUUGCACCUGAUUGAUUUUGGUCGCCAACGAGUGGCGGACGGGUGAGUAACACGUAGGUAACCUGCCCAGAAGCGGGGGACAACAUUUGGAAACAGAUGCUAAUACCGCAUAACAACGUUGUUCGCAUGAACAACGCUUAAAAGAUGGCUUCUCGCUAUCACUUCUGGAUGGACCUGCGGUGCAUUAGCUUGUUGGUGGGGUAACGGCCUACCAAGGCAAUGAUGCAUAGCCGAGUUGAGAGACUGAUCGGCCACAAUGGGACUGAGACACGGCCCAUACUCCUACGGGAGGCAGCAAUAGGGAAUCUUCCACAAUGGGCGCAAGCCUGAUGGAGCAACACCGCGUGAGUGAAGAAGGGUUUCGGCUCGUAAAGCUCUGUUGUUAAAGAAGAACACGUAUGAGAGUAACUGUUCAUACGUUGACGGUAUUUAACCAGAAAGUCACGGCUAACUACGUGCCAGCAGCCGCGGUAAUACGUAGGUGGCAAGCGUUAUCCGGAUUUAUUGGGCGUAAAGAGAGUGCAGGCGGUUUUCUAAGUCUGAUGUGAAAGCCUUCGGCUUAACCGGAGAAGUGCAUCGGAAACUGGAUAACUUGAGUGCAGAAGAGGGUAGUGGAACUCCAUGUGUAGCGGUGGAAUGCGUAGAUAUAUGGAAGAACACCAGUGGCGAAGGCGGCUACCUGGUCUGCAACUGACGCUGAGACUCGAAAGCAUGGGUAGCGAACAGG
This 792-nucleotide ribosomal RNA is filed under the name uncultured Lactobacillus sp. RNAcentral describes it as "bacterial SSU rRNA". It matches the Rfam family "Bacterial small subunit ribosomal RNA", at positions 28 to 776 of the family's 1533-position model. Lineage: Bacteria; Bacillati; Bacillota; Bacilli; Lactobacillales; Lactobacillaceae. The record is from RNAcentral.